AGAAUCAACGCUGGCGGCGCGCUUAACACAUGCAAGUCGCACGAGAAAGUGGAGCAAUCCAUGAGUACAGUGGCGUACGGGUGAGUAACACGUGGAUCAUCUACCUUCUAGUGGGGAAUACCCCCGGGAAACUGGGGACAAUACCGCAUAAGCUCAUAAGAGGAAAGCAGCAAUGCGCUGGAAGAGGAGUCCGCGGCUGAUUAGCUAGUUGGCGGGGUAACGGCCCACCAAGGCGAAGAUCGGUAGCCGGCCUGAGAGGGCACACGGCCACACUGGCACUGAAACACGGGCCAGACUCCUACGGGAGGCAGCAGUGGGGAAUCUUGCACAAUGGAGGAAACUCUGAUGCAGCGACGCCGCGUGAGCGAUGAAGCCCUUCGGGGUGUAAAGCUCUUUCGACGGGAACGAUAAUGACGGUACCCGAAGAAGAAGCUGCGGCUAACUACGUGCCAGCAGCCGCGGUAAUACGUAGGCAGCAAGCGUUGUUCGGAAUUACUGGGCGUAAAGAGUGUGUAGGCGGUGUUCUAAGUUUGUCGUGAAAUCUCCCGGCUUAACUGGGAGGGUGCGGCGAAAACUGGAAUGCUAGAGGAUGGGAGAGGUAAGCGGAAUUCCUGGUGUAGCGGUGAAAUGCGUAGAUAUCAGGAGGAACACCUGUGGUGUAGACAGCUUACUGGACCAUUUCUGACGCUGAGACACGAAAGCGUGGGUAGCAAACAGGAUUAGAUACCCUGGUAGUCCACGCCCUAAACGAUGCAUACUUGGUGUGAGCGAUUCAUUUCGUUCGUGCCGGAGCUAACGCGUUAAGUAUGCCGCCUGGGGAGUACGGUCGCAAGGCUGAA
Molecule: ribosomal RNA, 839 nt
Filed under: uncultured bacterium
Lineage: Bacteria
Description: bacterial SSU rRNA
Rfam family: Bacterial small subunit ribosomal RNA
Source: RNAcentral